Ictalurus furcatus (blue catfish) is the source of this 1288-nucleotide long non-coding RNA. RefSeq lists it as uncharacterized. The transcript is spliced from 4 exons. The record is from RefSeq and is a predicted model, not a curated record. NCBI's taxonomy places the organism in Eukaryota, Metazoa, Chordata, Actinopteri, Siluriformes, Ictaluridae.
UUCCGUCACUAGUCAGGUGAUAUGAGCGCGCACGCGCAUUAAAAAUCUUCGUGUUCCUCACUAACGUACUGUUUAUUUCUGUUUUAUUUAUGUCAUAAACUAUUUUGCUCGUGUUAUAUACAAUGGAUGUGAGCUGAUGAGACACAAGCACUUGGCUAAGGACCAGGCUCCUGACCUGUUCUCUCUGGAGCUGGCUGGUAUGGAGGAGCUCGCCCGGCGCUACGGCACGGACUCCCCCCAGUUCCAGGACGCCUGAGAGAUUCUGGUAGCAGCGCUGCAGAAGUUCGCCGAUGACGUCUUCGGCGUUUACGCCAGCAGCGCGGUGGUGGAGGUGGUGACGGUGAAGACGUUCGAGACGCCGCUGACCAGGAAGUCGUGCUCCAUCCUGGAGGCUAAGCAGAUUAGUAACCCGGGAAGCCCCUACAACCUGGCCUACAAGUACAACUUUGAAUACGCCGUCGUGUUCAACAUCGUGCUGUGGCUCAUGAUCGUUUUGGCUCUCGCUGUCAUCGUCAUCUCGUACAACCUGUGGAACAUGGACCCGGGCUACGACAGCAUCAUCUACAGGAUGACCAAUGAGAAGAUCCGCAUGGACUAACCGUGCAUUCCAUCGCAGUGUUGUUGUGUGUGUGUGUGUGUGUGUGUGUGUGUGUGUACACAGGUUUCUCACUUCCAUUCAUCCCAUACGUCAAGUGUUUUGUGUGUGUAUAUAUAGCUCUAAAAUGUCAGUUUGUGAAUAUUUAUUGAUGCCUGCUAUUUUGUUGAAAAUCUAAAUGAAUACAUAUAUAAUAUACACACAGCGGAUGAAUGAAUUCGAACGAAAUCGCGCUCACGUGUGGUGUGGUGUUGUGUUCCUGAUCUAGCUACAUGUUGAAUCAGCUGUAUUUAUUAUUGUUUUGUUUUUUUAUUCCUGAUACACUGGACCAUGAUGUCUGAUACUGCUGUGAUGGGGGUGGGGUGAUGCACAAAAAUUGCAUGCAGUAAAACUUCACCUAGGUGUGAUGUUAAAACUAGGAGAUCGUUGGCGUGGUUUUAUUUGGAAAAGUCAAAGACAGUUGGUUAAAAAAAUGUUAGAAAUAUAAUUGUUUGAUCUGACACGCAGCGAUUGAAGGGCAAAAUGGUAGAUGUGAUAUUUUUAACUUGGUUUAACCUCAACUCUCCAUCACCCGGUACGUUCACCUGAAACUUCUUGUCCUCCGACCAUAACGUGAACUUUAGCCGAAUUGUUUUACCGACAAGUGUAGAGGUGCAAAGUUCAUUUGUUACCAAAUAAAGACUUCUGAUACGG